This is a long non-coding RNA of Zonotrichia albicollis (white-throated sparrow), 792 nucleotides long. The record is from Ensembl. Lineage: Eukaryota; Metazoa; Chordata; Aves; Passeriformes; Passerellidae.
GACAUCUGGCAGCAGCUGUGGUCAGGGAGCACACAGAGCCCCUGGCUGGGAGCUGUUGGCUCUGUCCCCUCCAUCCCAGAAGGAACUUCAAGUCUCCAGUCCCUUUUUGAAGGAUUGUGGAUGGAUGCAACUCUUGAAGCAGAUGUACUGGAACUAACAUGGACAGAGAGCAGAGCCAGCCUUGGUAAGGAGACUGAACCAGAGAGGAGAUGCCAUGUCAGCAGUGCAUGGAGCUUGGUGCAUCCAGCAUGGGCAGAAAAAGAAGAAGAAGAAGAAAGAAGAAGAAGAAGAAAAAAGAAGAAAGAAGAAGAUGAAGAAGAAGAAGAUGAUGAAGAUGAAGAAGAAGAAGAAGAAUUACUCCUUAUCCCCAGCCAGAUUAGCAGCCACUCAAGCACAGAGUUUUAGAGGAAUAUGCUACGUGAGAAAAGAGAGAAAUUGCAAGGUGGUGAGAGGGCAAGAAUGGAGAAGAGCUUAAUUAAAUUAACUGAGGGAAUAUUUACACUUCCCAUUUCUGAGAUUCGCAAUUCUGUAGAACAGUCUCCCAGAGGAAGUCAUGAAAACCUCAUCACUGAGCCAUUUUAAAUGAGUUGGAACAGCUCUACAGUGAACACUGUGGGGGCUGUGGACUGGCUCAUGGCUCCUCUCUCUGUCUCUCUUUAUAACUAAUGAAGCACACUCCCCUUAAAUCUCCAUAGCACAAACCAUGGGAUAAUCCAUAUCAACUCAUGAAUGUAUUUCACUUGCAAAAUGUGAAUAGAUACUUAUGCAAAUAAAUGGAUCAGAUUACCAACA